RNAcentral lists this microRNA precursor (89 nucleotides) under Medicago truncatula (barrel medic). Its description in RNAcentral is "MIR2617 microRNA precursor family". It matches the Rfam family "MIR2617 microRNA precursor family". Lineage: Eukaryota; Viridiplantae; Streptophyta; Magnoliopsida; Fabales; Fabaceae. The record is from Rfam by way of RNAcentral.
UAGUAGUGUGACAUGUCCGUUUGGGAAUUACUCUGAUGUGUGUUUAAUUAUUAGUUAAUUACUUUUGGGUAACGGGGUGUUACACUUUG